This 212-nucleotide long non-coding RNA is filed under the name Prunus persica (peach). RNAcentral's name for it is "long non-coding RNA (PPER_LNC006639)". The record is from RNAcentral. Lineage: Eukaryota; Viridiplantae; Streptophyta; Magnoliopsida; Rosales; Rosaceae.
UUUUUAAAGACAUGUGCUGACACGUGGCGCCACAUGGCUGGAGUCAUUUUUUUAAUUAAAAAUAGUAUAGCCGCACGGCGAUACUCAGUUUUGAAAUAUUUUUUAAAAACCCAAGUGUUGACACGUGGCGCCAAAUGGUUGGGGGAACUUUUUUAUAUUAAAAAUAGUAUAGCCGCCCGGCUAUACCCAGUUUUGAAAUUUUUUUAAAAAAG